This 78-nucleotide small RNA is filed under the name Flavobacterium aquatile LMG 4008 = ATCC 11947. Its description in RNAcentral is "Flavobacterium aquatile LMG 4008 Flavo-1 RNA". It matches the Rfam family "Flavo-1 RNA". The record is from Rfam by way of RNAcentral. Lineage: Bacteria; Pseudomonadati; Bacteroidota; Flavobacteriia; Flavobacteriales; Flavobacteriaceae.
GUUUAGCCCAGAUAGCAGCGGCAUCCUUUUUCUUUUUUCUUUAAAAAGGAAAAGAUAGAGCGUAUAGCUGGAAAUAGC